AUUGAACGCUGGCGGCAUGCUUUACACAUGCAAGUCGAACGGCAGCGCGGGCUUCGGCCUGGCGGCGAGUGGCGAACGGGUGAGUAAUGCAUCGGAACGUGCCCAGUAGUGGGGGAUAGCCCGGCGAAAGCCGGAUUAAUACCGCAUACGACCUGAGGGUGAAAGCGGGGGACCGAAAGGCCUCGCGCUAUUGGAGCGGCCGAUGUCGGAUUAGCUAGUUGGUGGGGUAAAGGCUUACCAAGGCGACGAUCCGUAGCUGGUCUGAGAGGACGACCGGCCACACUGGGACUGAGACACGGCCCAGACUCCUACGGGAAGCAGCAGUGGGGAAUUUUGGACAAUGGGGGCAACCCUGAUCCAGCCAUGCCGCGUGCGGGAAGAAGGCCUUCGGGUUGUAAACCGCUUUUGUUCGGGAAGAAAUCCUCUGGGCUAAUACCCCGGGGGGAUGACGGUACCGGAAGAAUAAGCACCGGCUAACUACGUG
RNAcentral lists this ribosomal RNA (484 nucleotides) under uncultured bacterium. RNAcentral's name for it is "partial 16S ribosomal RNA". It matches the Rfam family "Bacterial small subunit ribosomal RNA", at positions 28 to 507 of the family's 1533-position model. The record is from RNAcentral.